This 1533-nucleotide ribosomal RNA is filed under the name Escherichia coli. RNAcentral's name for it is "partial 23S ribosomal RNA". It matches the Rfam family "Bacterial large subunit ribosomal RNA", at positions 349 to 1869 of the family's 2925-position model. The record is from RNAcentral. Lineage: Bacteria; Pseudomonadati; Pseudomonadota; Gammaproteobacteria; Enterobacterales; Enterobacteriaceae.
GGCGCGCGAUACAGGGUGACAGCCCCGUACACAAAAAUACACAUACUGUGAGCUCGAUGAGUAGGGCGGGACACGUGGUAUCCUGUCUGAAUAUGGGGGGACCAUCCUCCAAGGCUAAAUACUCCUGACUGACCGAUAGUGAACCAGUACCGUGAGGGAAAGGCGAAAAGAACCCCGGCGAGGGGAGUGAAAAAGAACCUGAAACCGUGUACGUACAAGCAGUGGGAGCACAGAGCAAUCUGUGUGACUGCGUACCUUUUGUAUAAUGGGUCAGCGACUUAUAUUCUGUAGCAAGGUUAACCGAAUAGGGGAGCCGAAGGGAAACCGAGUCUUAACUGGGCGUUAAGUUGCAGGGUAUAGACCCGAAACCCGGUGAUCUAGCCAUGGGCAGGUUGAAGGUUGGGUAACACUAACUGGAGGACCGAACCGACUAAUGUUGAAAAAUUAGCGGAUGACUUGUGGCUGGGGGUGAAAGGCCAAUCAAACCGGGAGAUAGCUGGUUCUCCCCGAAAGCUAUUUAGGUAGCGCCUCGUGAAUUCAUCUCCGGGGGUAGAGCACUGUUUCGGCAAGGGGGUCAUCCCGACUUACCAACCCGAUGCAAACUGCGAAUACCGGAGAAUGUUAUCACGGGAGACACACGGCGGGUGCUAACGUCCGUCGUGAAGAGGGAAACAACCCAGACCGCCAGCUAAGGUCCCAAAGUCAUGGUUAAGUGGGAAACGAUGUGGGAAGGCCCAGACAGCCAGGAUGUUGGCUUAGAAGCAGCCAUCAUUUAAAGAAAGCGUAAUAGCUCACUGGUCGAGUCGGCCUGCGCGGAAGAUGUAACGGGGCUAAACCAUGCACCGAAGCUGCGGCAGCGACACUAUGUGUUGUUGGGUAGGGGAGCGUUCUGUAAGCCUGUGAAGGUGUGCUGUGAGGCAUGCUGGAGGUAUCAGAAGUGCGAAUGCUGACAUAAGUAACGAUAAAGCGGGUGAAAAGCCCGCUCGCCGGAAGACCAAGGGUUCCUGUCCAACGUUAAUCGGGGCAGGGUGAGUCGACCCCUAAGGCGAGGCCGAAAGGCGUAGUCGAUGGGAAACAGGUUAAUAUUCCUGUACUUGGUGUUACUGCGAAGGGGGGACGGAGAAGGCUAUGUUGGCCGGGCGACGGUUGUCCCGGUUUAAGCGUGUAGGCUGGUUUUCCAGGCAAAUCCGGAAAAUCAAGGCUGAGGCGUGAUGACGAGGCACUACGGUGCUGAAGCAACAAAUGCCCUGCUUCCAGGAAAAGCCUCUAAGCAUCAGGUAACAUCAAAUCGUACCCCAAACCGACACAGGUGGUCAGGUAGAGAAUACCAAGGCGCUUGAGAGAACUCGGGUGAAGGAACUAGGCAAAAUGGUGCCGUAACUUCGGGAGAAGGCACGCUGAUAUGUAGGUGAAGCGACUUGCUCGUGGAGCUGAAAUCAGUCGAAGAUACCAGCUGGCUGCAACUGUUUAUUAAAAACACAGCACUGUGCAAACACGAAAGUGGACGUAUACGGUGUGACGCCUGCCCGGUGC